GGAAUAUACUGUCAGUGAAUUGACUAGACUGGAGGACGAUGGAAUAUACUGUGAGUGAAUUGACUAGACUGGAGGACGAUGGAAUAUACUGUGAGUGAAUUGACUAGACUGGAGGACGAUGGAAUAUACUGUCAGUGAAUUGACUAGACUGGAGGACGAUGGAAUAUACUUUCCCAGUUGUCUUGAAAGCACCAUAAAUCCAGAGAAUGACAGACUUUGAUGACAAAAUUUGCCCACGAAGGACCGUCGCACCAUCUUCCUGUUCAAGUGAGCACAGCCCAACAAGUUCCUGUUUUCUAGUUUUCCUGGGUUUUGUUUUUUUGGGACCAUUCUGCCUGUCUGUCGUUCAGUACCUUGUCCCACCACGCUGGAUUACUGACCUCUGCUUAUCCUGACCCUGAGCCUGCCUGCCGUUCUGUACCUUUCGGACUCUGGACUACUGACCUCUGCUUAUCCUGACCCUGAGCCUGCCUGCCGUUCUGUACCUUUCGGACUCUGGACUACUGACCUCUGUCUGCAUCUGGGUCUUCUCCAGAGCCUUGACACGUAUUAUUACCAACAAUAACGAAACAGCCUACAGGGAGGAGGGGAGUAUUAUUAUUAUUUUUUACUGUUUUCUACAUUGUAGAAUAAUAGUGAAGACAUCAAAACUACG
RNAcentral lists this long non-coding RNA (655 nucleotides) under Salmo salar (Atlantic salmon). Its description in RNAcentral is "lncRNA (ENSSSAG00000118414.1)". The record is from RNAcentral. Lineage: Eukaryota; Metazoa; Chordata; Actinopteri; Salmoniformes; Salmonidae.